CCCUUUAAAGAUUGGAAGAGGUUGAGAAUUUGAAUUGGUGUUUACUGUCAUUUUUUCUUAUCUGAAGAUGAUGAAUUUCCCUUUUACUCUUUUAAAUCUCUCUUUCUCACCCUCUCUCUGGCUCCCAAGUGAAGAAACCCGGCUACUAUGGAUACCAAAAAUGUUAGAAAAGAAAGUAGGCAAAGUGAGAAAGAAAAACGUUGCUUUUACUUCUUCAU
This 218-nucleotide long non-coding RNA is filed under the name Capsicum annuum. RNAcentral's name for it is "long non-coding RNA (CANN_LNC010863)". Lineage: Eukaryota; Viridiplantae; Streptophyta; Magnoliopsida; Solanales; Solanaceae. The record is from RNAcentral.